Molecule: ribosomal RNA, 253 nt
Filed under: uncultured bacterium
Lineage: Bacteria
Description: partial 16S ribosomal RNA
Rfam family: Bacterial small subunit ribosomal RNA
Source: RNAcentral
GACGGAAGGUGCAAGCGUUGCUCGGAAUUACUGGGCGUAAAGGGCUCGUAGGCGGCCAACUAAGUCCGACGUGAAAUCCCAAAGCUUAACUUUGGAACUGCGUCGGAUACUGGAUGGCUUGAAUUCGGGAGAGGGAUGCAGAAUUCCAGGUGUAGCGGUGAAAUGCGUAGAUAUCUGGAGGAAUACCGGUGGCGAAGGCGGCAUCCUGGACCGACAUUGACGCUGAUGAGCGAAAGCUAGGGGAGCAAACGGG